RNAcentral lists this transfer RNA (71 nucleotides) under Callaeas wilsoni (North Island kokako). It matches the Rfam family "tRNA". From Rfam's summary of the family: Transfer RNA (tRNA) molecules are approximately 80 nucleotides in length. Their secondary structure includes four short double-helical elements and three loops (D, anti-codon, and T loops). The record is from Rfam by way of RNAcentral. Lineage: Eukaryota; Metazoa; Chordata; Aves; Passeriformes; Callaeidae.
UAGAAAAUAAUAUAGUGGAAGUAUGAAGGGCUUUGAUCCCUUUCGUGCAGGUUCAAUUCCUGCUUUUCUAA